UGGCUCAGGAUGAACGCUGGCGGUGUGCUUAAACACAUGCAAGUCGAACGGUGAAGCCAAGCUUGCUUGGUGGAUCAGUGGCGAACGGGUGAGUAACACGUGAGCAACCUGCCCUGAACUCUGGGAUAAGCGCUGGAAACGGCGUCUAAUACUGGAUAUGAGCUGCGGAGGCAUCUUCGUGGUUGGAAAGAUUUUUCGGUUUGGGAUGGGCUCGCGGCCUAUCAGCUUGUUGGUGAGGUAAUGGCUCACCAAGGCGUCGACGGGUAGCCGGCCUGAGAGGGUGACCGGCCACACUGGGACUGAGACACGGCCCAGACUCCUACGGGAGGCAGCAGUGGGGAAUAUUGCACAAUGGGCGGAAGCCUGAUGCAGCAACGCCGCGUGAGGGAUGACGGCCUUCGGGUUGUAAACCUCUUUUAGCAGGGAAGAAGCGAAAGUGACGGUACCUGCAGAAAAAGCGCCGGCUAACUACGUGCCAGCAGCCGCGGUAAUACGUAGGGCGCAAGCGUUAUCCGGAAUUAUUGGGCGUAAAGAGCUCGUAGGCGGUUUGUCGCGUCUGCUGUGAAAACCCGAGGCUCAACCUCGGGCCUGCAGUGGGUACGGGCAGACUAGAGUGCGGUAGGGGAGAUUGGAAUUCCUGGUGUAGCGGUGGAAUGCGCAGAUAUCAGGAGGAACACCGAUGGCGAAGGCAGAUCUUUGGGCCGUAACUGACGCUGAGGAGCGAAAGGGUGGGGAGCAAACAGGCUUAGAUACCCUGGUAGUCCACCCCGUAAACGUUGGGAACUAGUUGUGGGGUCCAUUCCACGGAUUCCGUGACGCAGCUAACGCAUUAAGUUCCCCGCCUGGGGAGUACGGCCGCAAGGCUAAAACUCAAAGGAAUUGACGGGGACCCGCACAAGCGGCGGAGCAUGCGGAUUAAUUCGAUGCAACGCGAAGAACCUUACCAAGGCUUGACAUACACGAGAACGCUGCAGAAAUGUAGAACUCUUUGGACACUCGUGAACAGGUGGUGCAUGGUUGUCGUCAGCUCGUGUCGUGAGAUGUUGGGUUAAGUCCCGCAACGAGCGCAACCCUCGUUCUAUGUUGCCAGCACGUAAUGGUGGGAACUCAUGGGAUACUGCCGGGGUCAACUCGGAGGAAGGUGGGGAUGACGUCAAAUCAUCAUGCCCCUUAUGUCUUGGGCUUCACGCAUGCUACAAUGGCCGGUACAAAGGGCUGCAAUACCGCGAGGUGGAGCGAAUCCCAAAAAGCCGGUCCCAGUUCGGAUUGAGGUCUGCAACUCGACCUCAUGAAGUCGGAGUCGCUAGUAAUCGCAGAUCAGCAACGCUGCGGUGAAUACGUUCCCGGGUCUUGUACACACCGCCCGUCAAGUCAUGAAAGUCGGUAACACCUGAAGCCGGUGGCCCAACCCUUGUGGAGGGAGCCGUCGAAGGUGGGAUCGGUAAUUAGGACUAAGUCGUAAAAAGGGUAAC
This 1472-nucleotide ribosomal RNA is filed under the name Microbacterium aurantiacum. RNAcentral's name for it is "partial 16S ribosomal RNA". It matches the Rfam family "Bacterial small subunit ribosomal RNA". The record is from RNAcentral. Lineage: Bacteria; Bacillati; Actinomycetota; Actinomycetes; Micrococcales; Microbacteriaceae.